Molecule: ribosomal RNA, 270 nt
Filed under: uncultured bacterium
Lineage: Bacteria
Description: partial 16S ribosomal RNA
Rfam family: Bacterial small subunit ribosomal RNA
Source: RNAcentral
UUUGAUGGCGACCGGCGCACGGGUGAGUAACACGUAUCCAACCUGCCGAUGACUCGGGGAUAGCCUUUCGAAAGAAAGAUUAAUACCCGAUGGCAUAGUUCUUCCGCAUGGUAGAACUAUCAAAGAAUUUCGGUCAUCGAUGGGGAUGCGUUCCAUUAGGUUGUUGGCGGGGUAACGGCCCACCAAGCCUUCGAUGGAUAGGGGUUCUGAGAGGAAGGUCCCCCACAUUGGAACUGAGACACGGUCCAAACUCCUACGGGAGGCAGCAUG